CCUCCAAUCAGAGUUUUCCGCAAUAUCCCCCUUGUCCGUCGCGGGGGGGUUACCCCACCUGGGUUGCCUGAUACCACACUUCACCACCUAAUUAUGGAUUGGUUCUCUUGAGAAAGCGGUUUCACCGCGAAACUAGUCGAGGCAUAGACCAGUCUAUAUGUUUGCAACAACAGAAUUGCCCGGGGGUACUCCCUGAGGUCCUGUUUUUUCAAUUUUACCAUGUAUUCUUUGUUCAACAAUUGUAUGUAAUAAAAUAUAUUUUUAUAUUA
Long non-coding RNA from Rana temporaria (common frog), 269 nucleotides. RefSeq lists it as uncharacterized. The record is from RefSeq and is a predicted model, not a curated record. The transcript is spliced from 2 exons. NCBI's taxonomy places the organism in Eukaryota, Metazoa, Chordata, Amphibia, Anura, Ranidae.